AUCCCCCUCCACCUGCACCAAAAAAGGUAUAGCUUGCUGUGGAACCCACCCUCCCUUCUCUCUCUUUUCCUCCGUUUUUUCUCCCGAUUCCACCUCCCCUUCCGUCCACCAUUAGAGGAGAAUCUCGAGCUCCAAGGUAUCGCCAUGACGAAAUAGAAUGUGGUGAUGUCGGAGGCCAUGGCCAUCUCGGUGGCUGUCGUGUCGCCGCUCUUCUCCUACCCUCCGCGCGCAGCGGCUGCGGUGCCAGUGGUACCGGCGGUUUGCCCGGAAGAAAAAAGUCUCUCCCAGCUGGACCUAGGCGGGUGGGUUAAGUCCAUGAAGGCUUCCUCCCCUACCCACGCCAAGGUCGCCACUACCUCGCUGCCGCCCCUUCCAUCGGCGCCCAGGACGAACACGCCACCUAGAUUAUGCGGCACCCUUCGGCUCUUAGUAAAUUUGAGCAGAUCAUUAGCGCUUCUAAAGGGAAGCAGAUUAUGAUGUUCUUGGACUAGGAUGAGUUGCCCCCUGUUUUUCCUCUGUUUCUAUGGUCCAAUCCGUUAAUUGAUUCUGGUCUAUUGUUAAAGAGGGGAUUUUGAUGGGCGGUCCGACGCCGCUGGUUCACCCCAAAUAAUCGCGAUCGGCUGUUUUUUCUCUUUUCCAGCGGCGAUUUACCUUUUCCUCCAUCAAUGUAUGCCGACGUGUCGAAAUUUGGUUGAGCUGGUCCAAAUUUGACGUGGUGGACCUAGUUCAACCAAUAAUUUUUCCACAAACACUUUGAUCCAUUGAUUUGGUGCGUUUGUAUGGAUAUGACCUGAUGCGGAUUGGGGUUCUCAGUGACGUGGGUCCAGCAGGAACCGAUAUUCCAGUAAUGCUUGUAGAGUUGGUUGGGUGGAAGACUUGACUGAGAGCUCACCUUCCAUCCGUUCUCUUUGUUUUA
This is a non-coding RNA of Elaeis guineensis (African oil palm), 916 nucleotides long. NCBI's taxonomy places the organism in Eukaryota, Viridiplantae, Streptophyta, Magnoliopsida, Arecales, Arecaceae. The record is from RefSeq and is a predicted model, not a curated record.